AGAGUUUGAUCCUGGCUCAGAACGAACGCUGGCGGCAGGCUUAACACAUGCAAGUCGAGCGCCCCGCAAGGGGAGCGGCAGACGGGUGAGUAACGCGUGGGAACAUACCCUUUGGUUCGGAAUAACUCAGGGAAACUUGAGCUAAUACCGGAUACGUCCGUAAGGAGAAAGAUUUAUCGCCAAAGGAUUGGCCCGCGUCCGAUUAGCUAGUUGGUGAGGUAACGGCUCACCAAGGCUACGAUCGGUAGCUGGUCUGAGAGGAUGAUCAGCCACAUUGGGACUGAGACACGGCCCAAACUCCUACGGGAGGCAGCAGUGGGGAAUAUUGGACAAUGGGCGCAAGCCUGAUCCAGCCAUGCCGCGUGAGUGAUGAAGGCCUUAGGGUUGUAAAGCUCUUUUGUCCGGGAAGAUAAUGACUGUACCGGAAGAAUAAGCCCCGGCUAACUUCGUGCCAGCAGCCGCGGUAAUACGAAGGGGGCUAGCGUUGUUCGGAAUCACUGGGCGUAAAGCGCACGUAGGCGGACCGUUAAGUCGGAGGUGAAAGCCUGGGGCUCAACCCCAGAACUGCCUUCGAUGCUGGCGGUCUUGAGUAUGGUAGAGGUUGGUGGAACUCCGAGUGUAGAGGUGAAAUUCGUAGAUAUUCGGAAGAACACCAGUGGCGAAGGCGGCCAACUGGACCAUUACUGACGCUGAGGUGCGAAAGCGUGGGGAGCAAACAGGAUUAGAUACCCUGCUAGUCCACGCUGUAAACGAUGAGAGCUAGCCGUUGGGGUGCAUGCACCUCAGUGGCGCAGCUAACG
Molecule: ribosomal RNA, 800 nt
Filed under: uncultured bacterium
Lineage: Bacteria
Description: bacterial SSU rRNA
Rfam family: Bacterial small subunit ribosomal RNA
Source: RNAcentral